This is a long non-coding RNA of Oncorhynchus nerka (sockeye salmon), 3940 nucleotides long. RefSeq lists it as uncharacterized. The transcript has 2 exons. Lineage: Eukaryota; Metazoa; Chordata; Actinopteri; Salmoniformes; Salmonidae. The record is from RefSeq and is a predicted model, not a curated record.
UUAACGUUAGGGUAUAGUAAAUUGAGAAGUUCGGUUGGGUUUACUCUGAUGAUUAGAAUUUAAAACUGAACUCAAUCUGAAUAGGGAAUAUAUAUUUUACAAAGGCGGGCAGAUUUGUGUCUAUAGCCAAGCAAUGGAAUUGCUAGACACUCAAUGGGGCUAUAUAGUGCAACGCUUUGGACUAUAAAUUAGGUAAGAAUAGUUUAAUCGUAAGAAGUUGUGAUUGUUUUUCUGAUUAUUGAUUUUUGGUUAAGGUAACAACAGUGAAUUUGAACAAAAAGUAACGUAUUCUAAAAAUGAUCUGAUUUCCGUUCCCGUUGCGGGGAACAAAGGAAAAGUCUUAUCUUAAAGGGACAGUGCACGGUAAUCACAGUGGUUUGAGUGUAUGACAGUGGAAAAAAUAUUGUGGGACGACAAUUUGAAGAUAGAAAAAAUAAGUUACAUGAUACAUCAAGAGAUUUAAAACAAACGAUGUGAAGGGAUUAUCAGAAUUAUUGGGUGUCGUUGUAGUAGUAAAAGUUUGGGUUAAGGGGAUUUCCCUGUUCCCAGUGACAAGGUAUUUUAAAGGUGUACACUCACAUAGGGGGUGGUAAAUUAUAAUUCAGGAUUUGAACAGAUGUGAUAAAUUAGGUUUGGUUAAUCGAACAAUAAUUAUUUACAAUUCAUUUAAAGUCGCUACGAAUUGGCAGGUUGAGCGCUUGAUGAUGACGUCACUAGCGAGGCACUUUUGUCGUCAGGGACUGGGGAUAACGGAGCAAAUUAUAUGUCUGUUAGUGUGUGUAUUGAUGUUUCGAGUAACUUUUCAGAAGUUGAUAUGAUUACAAAAUACAUUUUUAACAGUAAUUUGAGAGUUGCCAGGAUAGUCGGGAAAGAUGCUAAAAACGAUCAGCUGAUACCUAGGAAGGCAUCAAGUUUUAUGCCCAGCAGGAGAACUACAGAGGGAGGUGGCACACGAGAUUCAACCAGGAGACUGGAUCUGGAUCCAAUCACUAAAAAGAAAAAAAAAGUGGAAGCAGCCUCGGUGGGAGGGACCAUUCCAAGUACUACUGGUGACUGCCUUCGCUGUGAGAAUAGCCGAAAGAGCUACCUGGGUGCAUAUCACACAUUGUAAGAGGGUGAGUCACACAGCACUGUCGGACGUUCGCAGGAGUUGGAGAGGAACCGUGACCCAUAUGGAACGGGGGUCAAACUCCUUCUGAAGAUUCCCUAUACCUGACCUUUCCCCAGCUGUGAGCGUUCAUAGAAGUGAAGUGAUGGCUUGGCCUCUGGCUGUUGAUAUGUUCUCGGGGAGAGGGUGGGGCUUCACGUGUGCACUGACCGUCCUGAGCUGUUUUAUUGUGGGGGCCAUAUUCCUGAUUCACCAUGAUCCCCCGGAAAGUGCCAAAGAGGAUAAUUUGACUCAUGUGCUAGAUGAGGGAAAUGGGAUGUUACCUAAGAUUCUCAAAAGGUCACUGAAACAAAAUAGUAAGGAAGUGAGGGUGGAAUUGGGCAAGGAUCUCUCAGUAGAAUUUUGUGUAGACCAAUUGGGGUCAUUCACCCCUUGGCAGUCUAGAACCAUGGGACUCUAUGGGAAGUAUUUGUGUAAAUCACCGUGUAAGUCGUGGAGCCAGGUCAUAGCUCACACUGAAAGGGAUGGCUACGUAAACCCAUACACUCAAUUUGGGACCAGGUGGAGUAUAGUAAGGGUUGGCGUUUUGGACUGUGUUCCCGAGCAAAGGAAGUAUUGUAUAAAGGUGCGAACUAACAUUAAGGCGGUCAAUACUCAGGACCUCGGUUAUAGUAUGUGGGCUUCGACCAGUUAAGUUAUAGAGGUGGAGACUGGGUUUGGGGAGUCCAACUUAUGGUUGGAAUGGAUUCAAUAUACGGCCAGAUCAGUGGCUAAAGAAGAAUGUUAUGUCUGUGAGAACGCUAAACCCCAGUUAACAACUAUCCCUAUCCCACUGAACGGAAUUAAUUCCCCUAAGGGAAUGGCAUGUAUGGUAAAGCAGGAAUGCCAGAUAAUGACAGUUGUAAAAUGGGCCAGUGUCGCCAUCUGGUGGUUGUGCGGGGGAAUGAGUUUGACUGAUUGGACUGGUUAGGAAUGCAUUUUACACUCAUACAACACCAAGACAUGAAGUUAGCCAAACAAGAGAAAAGAGAUGCUCCAUCUGGGUCUUUUGACGACAGAGUAUAUAUUGAUAACAUUGGGGUUCCACGAGAGGUGCCGGAUGAGUUCAAGGCAAGAAAUCAGAUACUAGCAGGAUUAGAGUGGUCUACUCUCAAUAAGAAUGUAGACUGGAUUAAUUAUAGUUACCAGAAGGGUUAUUAAAUGGUUUGUAGAACAGACUGAAGCAAUCAGCUGGAAGACCUGACAGAACAGAAUUGCAUUAGAUAAAAGGAGAAAGUGGGCGUGGUAAUCGGGACCGUGUCUUACAUCCCAGGUAGCACAGCUCCGGACGAAUCAGUGCCCGAAGCCUCAGCUGUUUUGACCACCCUGGCUCACAGAUUGGCAGAAACUCUGGGGUGGAUACUUCUCUGAACUAAAUUGGGUAGACAGUAUUUAUGGAAAAAUGUGCUGUUAUGGGCCACUUUAACCGGUGUGACUGUGUUAGUCUUGUACGUACGUGGUUGAUUGCGUGUAUGUAUGAAAGUUAUUGUUUCCAGGACUCUGGAAAGAUCAAUGACCCAACAGAUGGUGCGUUAUGGGCCGAUUCCAGAUUCUGACCUGUGGAGGACUGAAGGCAUGUCUACAGAGGAAGUGGACGAAUCCGGAUCUGUCAUUUGUGGGGAAUUUAUGUUUGAUGAGGCUAGUGUUGAGAUAAAGGGGAAUUAGAUUGUAAUUGGUUUCCAUGAUUAAACUGUUUUUUUUAAUGAAGGUCGUGACGAAAAUCCGGAAGGAAGAGUUAUGAUUCUGAUGUAGAUUUAAAAACAGUUGGAGUUAAGGUUAGAAUUGAUUAAUGAAAUGUGGAGAGUUGGAUAAACAUUUAUAAUUGAUUUGUUUAUUUGUCUAUUCAUAUGAUAAUCUGAUAAACCUCUAUAAAAAGGUUAAUUAAGUUCGUUUAUACUUUCAUUUUUUAUGAUUAAAUAAAACUAGAUGUAGAAUUGAAUGUAUAAUAUUUGAUCAAAGGGUGGAUUGAUAGAGGAAAAUAUAGUUUAGAUGAUCAAUUAUGUAUACAUUAAUGAUUAGAACCAUUUAUGCUAAUACUAUUAUGUUAUGAUUUGAAAAGUAUGGGUUCUUAAUUGUACUGUUACUGAAAAUGUAAGCAGAAAUGAAUUGUGUCUGUGUCUACUGGGAAUGUUAGGGAGGGAUGCUGUGGCUUUUCAGACAGAUAAGAAAUGCCUGGGAAAAUGUUCCAUUCCUAAAACAAUGGGUUCUUGUGAGAAUCGGAGAGAGGGGGUGUAACUGAUGACGUCAUUUUAUGUCUUCUUCCUUUAAAAUGUAAUGAUCUUUGUAUUUUGGGUCAGUACUCAUCAAGAAUAAAUGCUGAACUUGUUUUUAAGACUGGUCUCGUGCUAAUUCAUGCAAAUGAUAAACUUACAACUUAUCAUGAAUUAGAAAUGAGUGUGAAUUUAAUUGGUUUUGGCAAUUAAACAUAAAGGAAUUCAGAAUUCCUCUAUCAGCACCCCAUUAUUUUUAUUUCUACUUUGCACAUUCUUCCAUUGCAAAACUACCAUUCCAGUGUUUUACUUGCUAUAUUGUAUUUACUUUGCCACCAUGGCCUUUUUUUGCCUUUACCUCCCUUCUCACCUCAUUUGCUCACAUUGUAUAUAGACUUGUUUAUACUGUAUUAUUGACUGUAUGUUUGUUUUACUCCAUGUGUAACUCUGUGUCGUUGUAUCUGUUGAACUGCUUUGCUUUAUCUUGGUCAGGUCGCAAUUGUAAAUUAGAACUUGUUCUCAACUUGCCUACCUGGUUAAAUAAAGGUGAAAUAAAUAAAAAAUGUGCAAAAACCUUCCUCAA